Molecule: long non-coding RNA, 1354 nt
Filed under: Numida meleagris (helmeted guineafowl)
Lineage: Eukaryota; Metazoa; Chordata; Aves; Galliformes; Numididae
Description: lncRNA (ENSNMEG00000010789.1)
Source: RNAcentral
UAUCAAGGGAGGUACAGGAUAAGAGAAAGUGAGAAUGCUGAGGAACCUGGCCAGACCAGCUUACCUUCAUGAAGCUCCAGCUUCUUACAUGGGAUGGCAACAUUUGGAAAGUAACCUGCUAUGAACACAGAAUCCCCGCCUAAAAUGCAACCUAAAGAAUGGAGAAAAGUGGAGCUGUCCUCUUCCCUGAUGCCUCUUUGGAUGCUCCUAAUCCUUCUGAUGUCUGUGCCAGCCCAGAAACACAGAAGGAAGCAGAAAGCUCUUCAGGAGAGGUCACUUGGCAACCUGUCCCAUGCAGCCAACGAUGCCAGCUGUUCUCAGACUCAUCGAACAACACAACUCCAAGGCUUUUGUCUUCUCCUCUGAGAGUGCUGUGGUAGGAUGCGACAUGCUCACUGCAGGCUGUCCUCAUGGCCACACCUGUCCCUGCCCUCAUCCCUGAGCUGUCCUACCCCAGAGCUUGGCUGUGUCUGCUGGAAGGGUCACCAGCAUCCAACUGUUCUAAUUUAAAACAAUGGCAAUCACAGUCUUAACUAAGCACUCUUAGAAAGCAAGACAAAUCAGGCGUGAAGGAAAUAACCACAAUUAAAAAAAAACCCUACAAAUCUUAAGCAACAUUAUAGUUUUUUUCUCAAUUUGACAUGCUUAAGGUUACUUCUUUUCAUAUGUAUAAGACAUUACUGAAUUUUUAGACCAAUAUAUCAUAGUAUGAGAACACAAUCCCACAAGGCAACUCAGCAUGUCUCUUCUGCCACCUGCCAGUUCUGUCAGCUACUCUGAGCAGUUCACCGCAUCUUCCAGUAGGAAAUGAUAACAUGCCAUCAUUUAUGCUCAAAUGAUACUCCUUUUAACCAAGAUCGAGUAAACAAGCUCUGAAGUACUCCAUUAAAGCUAUCCAGAAUUUCUAUAGUAGAUUCACUUGAAUUAAACAAUAUAUACAAAGCACUUGUUAAUUGAAAAGAGACAAUACAAUGAAUUCUCAGAUCCGUAUUUGAAAUUCAUGUCAUUUCGCUUAUCUCUCUGCCAUACAGUUCCUAAUACGGUGAAUUUUUUUUGUAAUAGUUAACACUGAAGAGAUUAAUCUCGACUCUGCUGAAGAAAGCAGAGUAAACAUUACCAUUAAUACGGGUGUUAGUUCUCUAAAGAGUGCACUCCUAAAUUCUGUAAAGAGGCACGUGCAGCUAAUUCUGUUUUCCUUCCAGAGUUUCAUACAGAUCACGUCAAAACUAGCUACCUUGAGUACUGGCCUACCAAGUGGAAAAAAAAAACAGAACUCAUGAAAGUUUUCUUUCUUUCUCUUCUUGCUACAUGAACCUCCAGUUUUCAAAAUUAAUAAACAAUAACUGCCAGAUCA